GAAUUGUUCGCAAUGGGCGCAAGCCUGGCGACGCAACGCCGCGUGGAGGAUGAAGAUCUUCGGGUCGUAAACUCCUUUCGAUCGAGACGAAUUCCCCCGGGGUGAAUAAUCCCGGGGGUUGACGGUACCGAGAGAAGAAGCCCCGGCUAACUCCGUGCCAGCAGCCGCGGUAAUACGGGGGGGGCAAGCGUUGUUCGGAAUUACUGGGCGUAAAGGGCUCGUAGGCGGCCAACUAAGUCAGACGUGAAAUCCCUCGGCUCAACCGGGGAACUGCGUCUGAUACUGGAUGGCUUGAGUUUGGGAGAGGGAUGCGGAAUUCCAGGUGUAGCGGUGAAAUGCGUAGAUAUCUGGAGGAACACCGGUGGCGAAGGCGGCAUCCUGGACCAAUACUGACGCUGAGUGAGCGAAAGCCAGGGGAGCAAACGGG
RNAcentral lists this ribosomal RNA (427 nucleotides) under uncultured bacterium. Its description in RNAcentral is "bacterial SSU rRNA". It matches the Rfam family "Bacterial small subunit ribosomal RNA", at positions 359 to 776 of the family's 1533-position model. The record is from RNAcentral.